RNAcentral lists this long non-coding RNA (3513 nucleotides) under Xyrichtys novacula (pearly razorfish). The record is from RNAcentral. Lineage: Eukaryota; Metazoa; Chordata; Actinopteri; Labriformes; Labridae.
GACAUUCAUUAGAUUUGACAUGAAGAGUACCAGCCCUGCAUACCUUACCUUUUUGAUGGAUUUUCAUCCUUUACAAGUUGUGCACAAAGUUCGGAACAAAUCUGGUGUGAUGUGUGAAUGGUUUCCCUUGCUCCAGGCCCUCUGUUUCAUCUGUCGAUUCUUAUUGAUCUGCUCUUUCAGGAUGGACGGGCGCUUUAAGGAAAGGCUGUGAUGGAGUUUGUUGCUGUUUUCCUAAUACCACCCACACUACACUGAAGGUAUUUGUGCAAUGACGCUGAGACGCUUAUUGUCGGAUAAAGCGGUUAUUUAUCGCUCGCCCUUGCCCCAAGUUGCCCUUCAGCGGGCGCUGAGCUGUGGCAGGAAGCGUGCAGCACAUCCUGAAUGUCAACAGGCUGUGCUUUGACCUCUUCUUUGUCCGUAAGUUGUCACAGAAGUCUCUUGCUGUUCUGCCUGUGGACACUUCAGCACAGCACGGGAACCUGACAGAUCAGAUUUUACCGGCAGAGCGGAGCGAGAACAGGGGAGGGAUCACUUUGCAAACACCGCCCCGAGGGCCCAAACAGAAAAGCAGCACCGACUUUAUCUCGUCCGUGAGCUCUAAAUGUCAGGAGUUCUCCCUGACCCCUGUCAAAACCAAACACUGUCAAAAUAAAGCUCUGCUUCUCUGUGUGUGACCUGUGCAGGAUACCCUCCACAGUAAAAGAAGCACACUUUUCUCUGAGAUGGAUGUUGUGGGGCUUGUAAAAUAAAAAGCUUGAAAUAAACUGAAAAUAUUUAUCGAGGCUGUCAUGGUAGAUACAGUAAAACUGACAACAUGACUGGGUCUCUGCUUUUAUUUCACAACACCUUAAAAAUAACUGCCAAGAGGCUUCAAUCAGCCUGGAACAGUUUCAUCCAAAACUAGACAGCUGUUGCACUUUUAAACCCUUGAGAUUUCACCUUCUUUCACCUAUUAUCGGCUUUAAAAUCUGUGCAGAAAUCCUAGCUGAAAAUAUGAUCAUCUAUACGCAUCAAAACGUCUGAACGUUUGCACAGAUUAUGCACUAGAUGAGCAACUUUCACAGGAAGAGAAAUACCGAAAAUUAAACCUAAUUCACCGUAAAGGGUUUGAUUACUAACAUCUUAAAGCAUGACCACAAAAAACAAAGCUUUAAGUAAGAAAUUAAAAAGGUGAAAACUCAAAUUAAAAGGGCUUUGAGGCAAGAGUAAAUCUUUUUUUGUACAUGUGUAAACUUAAUUAACCUUCAAGUGGAGAAAACAGAUAAACGGAUUGAGUCAUUUCGUCCCUGAGGUGUGCCAGUAUGCAGUAAGCCUGCUUCUAAAUUUGACCACUUGGCUUCCUGGAUCUUUCUUGGCGUACCAGGACCUCUUACAAGUUUUCAGCACCCUUUCCUGUCAUCUCUGUAUCACACUUUCCUUUAAACAUUCACCAAUAAUACAUCAUCAAUAGGGCACAGUUUGAUAUUGGUGUCUUUUUCCAACUGUUACACCAUUUUCACUGGCGUUUUUUUGCCAAAGACUAACAGCACUAACACAUCGGACACGGCCAAGAUGUGUUGAAUUCUCCAACUAACUUUGGCUGCUUCCCUUAUCGUCUUAAACUGAGAAGUUUUGCCAGUAAAAACCAACACUGUGAAAGGUUUAUUUACUCUGUGCUACACCACUGUUCGCUUUAAAUGCAGGGUUUUGGCAUAAGUUAGCAAAAAAAAGGCCAUCCUGCCAGAUUCCUGAUGCCAGGUAUCUCAGGGUGCUUGGUAUCUCGGUGCUGCGAUGGCUGGCAGCGCCAACUUUCAUCCACUUUCUCCCUCAUUAUGUAAAUAUCAUGCGGUUAAAGAAGAUGAUGGUGCACUACAAAGUCAAAAAAACAUAGUGGAGUGACAUAAGUUUUAGAAAAAGGAAUAUUUCGCAACAUCUUUCAGUCAGAUAUUAGAUUUAAAAACUCCCUUGCUCACCCCUCACGUGACGGUGGCCCUUGAGGACAAGAGUCCCCUGUUAUGCAUCAUAAGUAUGUUUGUAUCCUCAAAAAUGUCCACUGAUGCAAAGUCUUUUUUAGCACAAUAACUUCUUCAACUUCCAGUCAGUGCACACCAUAGACUGUAUAUAGGAUGGACGCCUCCUUGCUGGGUGAAGCAACCGCCAGAACAGCACCCUCUGGUGACGGGCUGUAGUAUAGGUCAUAAAUUCUGCCUCUUCAAAUUCAUAUAAUGACGGAAGGCGGAACCAAGUUGUCCGUGGUAUAUACAGUCUAUGAUGAACACUAGUUUGUGCCACUGUAGAAACAAAAGAAGACCCUCCCUUUAUGUUGCUUCUCUGUGUAUCCCAGCAUGCUUUGGGGAAUUUUGAUUCAUGCCAGUCUUUGCAUUUCAUUAUCUAUGUGAUGCACCUUUAGCCAGACUAAAUCGCCAUCUUCAGGGUAAAAUACCUCUCUGCAGUUUAAAUGCCAGUGUUUUGAUCACACCAGUUUUGGGACUUGGGCUUUGUUCAGAUUCCCAGAAAUAAACAAGUAAGUCUUGCACUCUAUAAUUUGUGUUACACUGAAUUGUCACUAACUACCUAGCUUUAGAUCUGAAUGGAGAUAUGUAGGAUAAAUCUUGUUCACCUGGAUUAGUAAUACUGUCAUUAAGUCUUUAGAUUCAGCAUGAUAGUUUGUGUAAGUUGAUUUUUCUAACUUUUUUGUGUAAACUAGCCAAACAGCAGCGACACAAACCUAAGUCAGUGUGAUGCAGGUUGGACUUUCAGAGAAAAUUGAAUGCCUAGAAACCCCGGUGGAUGACAAAAAGCACCCUUUCAUCAUAAAAUCAUAGCCUGGGUGGCUUCUCAGUAGGAUGUCUGACCCAGAUAUCUGAAGCGAAUAUUUUACACUGCAGGCUUUGUGUAACAGAAAUCCAAACUGUGCAAUUUUAAAAUCAUAUUCUCAUAAUUCUACAGAGCUGAGGGGAGGAAAGUGUUCACAUCCAUUCAUCGAGACGCAUACACCAUCUAUCGCAUAGUUCUGCAAAGAUUCAAGGUCCGUUAUUCACCAGGUGGAGGAAGAGUCAGCUCAGGUAACGAUCAUGGUCUUCAGGUGUUUCGUGUAGAUCUGAUAACCCCCAGUUUAAAACAGCAAAACUUUUUCCAUCAACGUUAACAUUUUGAUUGGUUGUUGAGAUAAAGAUGUUUAAGACUGACUAAGAAAAUGUUAAUUAUUUAUGUUAAUUAUAGGCUUUUAUUUUGAAGGAGCUGGCUGUCUUGCAUAGAUUCUGCAUAAGAAACCUAAACAAUAGAAACCAACAUUUUAAGAGUUGUUUUCUUCUCCUCUUGAGGACAGAGCUGAUGUUUUACUAUGUACUAAUAAUACGAAGAAUCAUGUUGGUUUUUCAGUAAAUUAAUGACUCAUUUAUUACAAGAAAAUCUGUUUCUUUCAGGUUUAUACCACCAGACAAGAUCUCUGCACAAUUAAUAUUACAGUGAAUGAAGCAGAGUUGUUUUCCAUCACAGGAGCAGCAGGAAGAAGCUGCAUCGACUCAACAAAGG